AGUGGGUACCUUUGUGGAUCAACAGACGUAACAGCUGAGAUCACAUUCACAAUAAAUGGAGGAUAACAUUAUGCUACAGCUUGAUUUGAAGGGAGGGCUGGGCUGACCACAGAGUUAGGCAGCAGAAGAGAGAAGCCGAACCACCACAAAAUGCCACUUUACUUGACAGCUGGCAGAGAGCAAGGAUCUAGCACAGACUUCCUUCAGUACCAGAAGAACUAAGAUUGAACCUAAAGACACAAUUUUUCUGACUUAAUACUCAAAUCCUUCAAAAAGCCAUCACCUGUUUGACUGCAGCAGCUUUGGGGAAAUCUGGAUGGCCUCAGCAGCAAGCCACCUGAAUCACUAUGUUUACCUCAACUUAGUCCGGAAUAAACGGAGUGGAUAAGUGUAUUAAUUUUUAAUACAAAGAAAUCAAGAAAUAAACAAAUUAACAUUACAACUCCCAUCCACGUAACAAAGAGCUUUCUUCAAUUUGACCACUCUAAGUGCCCACAGGAUGACCUGCCUCAUUUUUUCUCAAGCCCUUGGGAAUCGUGCCAAACAGGAGGAAGAAUUUUCACUACCCUGACCUCUUCAUCUGUACGGGCAGAACUUUGGUGGGCAAAGUACUGAAAUACAUCCAGAAAAAGCAAAGUUUUUUACACGCAGAAGCUAUAUAUCAUCAUCCUGUCUAGAUCUGUUGUAUUACUGCCAUAGCCAGUGGACAUCAGAGUGGCACAGCACAGCAGCAGUCUAUCUGGAGCAUUCUCCACUCUACUUCAUUUUCAAGAAUUUUGAGAGCUAACAGAACAGCAGGAUGGACAAUCUACAGAAAAAUGAGCAAACUCACAUUUAGUAUACCAUGCUGAACCAGUUAUCAAAACAUGCAUCUGGCUAUUUUGUUCAAUACCCAGCCUGAUCACUGCGGUGAACCACAUAAUUUCAUACCUCCUACAGAUACUGACACCCUUAAAGCUCAUCUUUUGCAGAAAACUUGAUGGGUAUAUACAGUACAGCUCUAUGUGCAUCAGUUUUAUAAUGCUCCAUUUCUUCCCUCCCUAUAUAAAAGUUAUCCAGUAACUUCAACAGAACAAAUCACAACCCCUUCCGACAGCCGCAAACGUUCCAACAAAAAGCAAACCAACAAGGUAUACCUGAAACAGAGAACCAGCUUUGCAGACUCUUUCCACAAAGAGUGUUUUACCACCUUUCUCUUUUUGUUUUGUGCUUUUCUGCUUUUUAUUUUUAAAUAAAAGUCAACUCCCAUUAGCAAAAGAAGCCUUCUAUUACAAGGCCCUACUUCCCUAAAAGAUACUUCCUGCAACACAAGGGUGACAAUUCAGUUUACUUUCUACAGUGAUUUAAUGGAGUAGGCAGUUAAUGUAUGUAUGCUUCUAACACUCUCAAUGACAAAAUUGACUCAGACAGUUGGAGAGACAUCUGGAUCUUAUUUACAGGUUAAUCUGUUACCAGAUUUGAUUUGACACACUGACUUAACAACACACAGGUUUUCGUGCCCAUGAACUGACCAGUUUCAUAUGCACUCCUGCUUGUUGCUUAGCUCAAGAACUCGCCUACCAGAAAUACUCCUCGAACAACCUCAACAAUAGAAAUUCACAGGUUAAGAAAAUGCUCUCAGUUAGCACACCUCUGCAAAAACAUGGAAGGCAUUUCUAGAAACUUAUCAAAGAGCAGCAAUUUAUAUACCUAAAUGUAUAUGUGUAUAUGUAUAUAAAUAGUGCUACAGAACACAUGCUGAGGCAAUUGCAAAUGUGAAUGAAGAGUUUUAAAAUAAAAUCAAACCUAUAUCUCAAUUAAAAAAAGAAUAAAAAGCCAAACAAAAAACCAACCCUGAGAUCAAAAGCAUCUUACUAGAAGGACAAAGAAAAUGAAAUGGAAACUAUGAAUGCAACUUACAGAAAGCAACUGUGACAACCAACAAAAUGUAAGAGGGAAACUAAAAGGUCUGCAGUCUGCAACUGGCUCCUUCCCCCACAUUAAAAUAGACAUCAGACCCCUCGCUAGGAUCCCUACACUAGUGCUGCUCAGCAAAACUACUAACCAGCAGAGUUGCUUUGUUACUUGUUUAGUAAAUAUGUUAAGUAACUGGCAGUAGAUAGGUUCACAGAGAGGAAGGAAGGAGAAUCAUAAAACAGCAGAUGCCAAGACUAAAAAGCUAGCACAGAGCAGGAUCUACACCAGUAAAGUAUGACCAGCAUACCAUGACCAAUAAGGACAAAAGCCACCCUGCUUCAGGACUCACGUAUUUUAAAAAUAUGUUUAUCAUUUUACCCAAUAAAACACUGGAGAUCUUACCAAUAAAAUGCUUAAAACAUU
Numida meleagris (helmeted guineafowl) is the source of this 2319-nucleotide long non-coding RNA. RefSeq lists it as uncharacterized. The transcript has 2 exons. The record is from RefSeq and is a predicted model, not a curated record. NCBI's taxonomy places the organism in Eukaryota, Metazoa, Chordata, Aves, Galliformes, Numididae.